This 253-nucleotide ribosomal RNA is filed under the name uncultured bacterium. RNAcentral describes it as "partial 16S ribosomal RNA". It matches the Rfam family "Bacterial small subunit ribosomal RNA", at positions 524 to 776 of the family's 1533-position model. The record is from RNAcentral.
GACGGGGGAUGCAAGCGCUAUCCGGAAUCACUGGGCGUAAAGCGUCUGUAGGUGGUGAUGCAAGUCACUGGUGCAAAACUCUGGCUCAACCGGAGGAAAGCCAGUGAAACUGCAUGACUAGAGUGUGGGAGAGGUAGAAGGAAUUCCCUGAGUAGCGGUGAAAUGCGUAGAUACAGGGAAGAACACCGGACGCGAAAGCGUUCUACUGGAACACAACUGACAAUGAGAGACGAAAGAUAGGGGAGCGAAUGGG